Tupaia belangeri chinensis (Chinese tree shrew) is the source of this 1794-nucleotide long non-coding RNA. RefSeq lists it as uncharacterized. The record is from RefSeq and is a predicted model, not a curated record. NCBI's taxonomy places the organism in Eukaryota, Metazoa, Chordata, Mammalia, Scandentia, Tupaiidae. The transcript is spliced from 3 exons.
UUUGCCGUCAUAGAGCACCUGAGGUGGAAAGAGAGCUAGCAAGUGGGUGGACACAGCCCACAGCAGGGAAAGGCCGGGGACAGAGACCACCCUUGCAUCAGGGGCAGCUGCAAUCUCAUCAUCAGACCGGCGUGAUCAAGAGGCCCGAGAGACAGUCACUGCCGGGCUGGGACCGAUUCACAAAGACCCGGCACUGGCCAGUAGCACCGACCCACAGAGAAACUGUCCAGAACACCGAGUGUGAGAUCUCUGAGAAAUAUCUCCCCUCUAUUACUACACUGCCUAAAUUAAUGGGAGCCGCUCUGCAAAAAGCUCAGAUAUUGACGUGCCCCUUAAAAAGAUCCAGGCCACGGGCCAGUGAUGUGGUGGCUAAGAAGGCUGGACCCCACGUGGCAGACGGCGCAGUGCAAACCCCGAAUCUGGCUUGAAAACCUCGGCAAGCUCAUGAGUGUGUGCCCAGUAUCCAGGGGAGCAGGGGUUGUGGGGCCACUCUCCACCGAGUAUUUCUCACGCUCUCUCCUCUUCCUCCCUGUUUGUCUCCGGGGAGUGCAUGCUCCCCACAGCAAGAAUGAAAGUUCGUUCCAGGCUAUGAGCCAAGUGCCUGGGCUCAGCAGAGAACAAGGCAGGCCAGAGCCUGCCUGCCCGGAGCUGGAAGGGACCCACGGACGCGGCGAGCAGAGAGUGCAUGGGGGCCAGGGUACGGAGUGCUGUGGGGCUGAGCGUGAGCUCGUGUGGGGGCGUGAGCCAGGCUCACAGUCGACCUUGUGUUGUGUCUGAAUUUUAGGGAAGUCUUAGGAAGGCACGGGAAGGAAGGCUCCACAACAGGAGGCUCUGCUGCUGAGAGGUGUGGCCCGGCUGCAAUGCUACGGGCGGAGGGUGCAUGGGGACAGGUUUUGGUCCCAGCCCCUGAACGGGAGCAGUGGUGCCAGCCUGGGGUCCUGGCCAGUGGGCUGAGUGCCACAGCCUGCAUGGUCCUGUCAACGGUGCCAGCUGGGCACAGAGGGCGAGGCUAUGGCCCACAUGCCACUACGAAGCCGAGUCUAGAUGCGGUGCUGGACACGUUUGCCAUGUGUGGGCAGAACCCUGAGAGGAGAAAUCGCGCAGAAGCUAUGGGAAGUGGGCAUGGGUGUGCUUCGUCUCUCCUCCUGCUCGUCCUGUCUCCAGCAAGCACAGGCUUCACAGGUGUGAAAAGGCAAAUAUGAAGGGGCGGUUGCUGACACGUGUGCAUGCAGUACGGGAGUGCUGGGGCAGUUGCUGAUACACGUGUGCAUGCAGUACAGGAGUGCUAGGUGGUUGCUGACACGUGUGCAUGCAGUACAGGAGUGCUGGGCGGUUGCUGACACACGUGUGCAUGCAGUACGCGAGUGCUGGGGCGGUUGCUGACACGUGUGCAUGCAGUACAGGAGUGCUGGGCGGUUGCUGACACACGUGUGCAUGCAGUACGCGAGUGCUGGGGCGGUUGCUGACACGUGUGCAUGCAGUACAGGAGUGCUGGGCGGUUGCUGACACACGUGUGCAUGCAGUACGCGAGUGCUGGGGCGGUUGCUGACACGUGUGCAUGCAGUACGUGAGUACUGGGUGGUUGCUGACACAUGUGUGCAUGCAGUAUGGGAGUACUGGGCGGUUGCUGACACAUGUGUGCAUGCAGUACGGGAGUGCUGGGCGGUUGCUGACACGUGUGCAUGCAGUACAGGAGUGCUGGGCGGUUGCUGACACACGUGUGCAUGCAGUACGUGAGUACUGGGCGGUUGCUGACACAUGUGUGCAUGCAGUACGGGAGUGCUGGGCGGUUGC